Molecule: ribosomal RNA, 448 nt
Filed under: uncultured archaeon
Lineage: Archaea
Description: bacterial SSU rRNA
Rfam family: Archaeal small subunit ribosomal RNA
Source: RNAcentral
GUGGCUACGUCCGAAUUCUGGGGAUACUGCUAGACUUGGGGCCGGUUGAGGGAGAGGGUACUCCUGGGGUAGGGGUGAAAUGCUGUAAUCCUGGGGGGACCACCGGUGGCGAAAGCGUUCUACCAGAACGGGUCCGACGGUGAGGGACGAAAGCCAGGGGAGCGAACGGGAUUAGAUACCCCGGUAGUCCUGGCCGUAAACGAUGUGGGCUUGGUGUUGCAUGCUCUACGAGGGUGUGCAGUGCCGAAGAGAAGUUGAUAAGCCUACCGCCUGGGAAGUACUAUCGCAAGGCUGAACUUAAGGAAUUGGCGGGGGAGCACUACAAGGGGUGAAAUCUGCGGUUUAUUGGAUUCCAACGCCGGAAAAGCUCACUGGAAGAAACUGCCAAUGAUGGGUCAGGCUGAUGACUUUGCUUGAACAAACGAUAGAAAGGGGGUGGACGGCCUCC